UACAGAGACCUCAAACAUUAUCCGGAUUCAUUGGGCGUAAAGCGUCCGCAGGUGGCUUUGCAAGUUGAUGGUUAAAUCCUGGGGCUUAACUUCAGGACCGCUGUCAAAACUUCAAAGCUCGAGACUGGGAGAGGCAAACGGAACUGCCGGUGUAGUCGUAAUAAGCGCUGAUAUCGGCAGGAACACCAAAGGCGAAGGCAGUUUGCUGGAACAGUUCUGACACUCAUGGACGAAAGCGUGGGGAGCGAAUGGG
This 253-nucleotide ribosomal RNA is filed under the name uncultured bacterium. RNAcentral's name for it is "partial 16S ribosomal RNA". It matches the Rfam family "Bacterial small subunit ribosomal RNA", at positions 524 to 776 of the family's 1533-position model. The record is from RNAcentral.